This 497-nucleotide ribosomal RNA is filed under the name uncultured bacterium. RNAcentral describes it as "partial 16S ribosomal RNA". It matches the Rfam family "Bacterial small subunit ribosomal RNA", at positions 28 to 507 of the family's 1533-position model. The record is from RNAcentral.
GAUGAACGCUGGCGGCGUGCCUAAUACAUGCAAGUCGAGCGAACAGAUCAUGCGCUUGCUCCUUUGACGUUAGCGGCGGACGUGUGAGUAACACGUGUAUAACCUCCCUAUAUGACUGGUAUAACUUCGGGAAACCGGAGCUAAUACCGUAUAACAUAUUGCACCGCAUGGUUCAUUAGUGAAUUUCGGCUUUGCUGUCACUUCUAGCUGCAUCCGCGCCGUAUUAGCUAGUUGUUAAGUUAACGGCUUACCAAGGCAACGAUACGUAGACGACCUGAGAGAGUGAUAGGCCACACUAGAACUGGAACACGGUCAAGACUCCUAAGAGAGGCAGCAGUAGGGAAUCUGCCGCAGUGGGCGAAAGCAUGACGGAGCAACGCCGCGUGAGUGAUGAAGGUCUUCGGAUCGUAAAAAUCUGUUAUCAGGGAAGAACAAAUGUGUAAGUAACUGUGCACAGAUUGACGGUACCGGAUAAGAAAGCCACGGCUAACUACGUG